GCAAGUCGAGCGAACCCCCAGACUUCGGUUUGACGGGUUAGCGGCGGACGGGUGAGUAACGCGUGGGAACGUGCCCUUGGGUAAGGAACAACAGUUGGAAACGACUGCUAAUACCUUAUGAUCCUCUUCGGAGGCAAAGAUUUAUCGCCCAGGGAUCGGCCCGCGUUGGAUUAGGUAGUUGGUGGGGUAAUGGCCUACCAAGCCGACGAUCCAUAGCUGGUUUGAGAGGAUGAUC
This 235-nucleotide ribosomal RNA is filed under the name uncultured bacterium. Its description in RNAcentral is "partial 16S ribosomal RNA". It matches the Rfam family "Bacterial small subunit ribosomal RNA", at positions 57 to 305 of the family's 1533-position model. The record is from RNAcentral.